RNAcentral lists this ribosomal RNA (484 nucleotides) under uncultured bacterium. RNAcentral's name for it is "partial 16S ribosomal RNA". It matches the Rfam family "Bacterial small subunit ribosomal RNA", at positions 30 to 507 of the family's 1533-position model. The record is from RNAcentral.
AUUGAACGCUGGCGGCAGGCCUAACACAUGCAAGUCGAGCGGAUGAAGGGAGCUUGCUCCUGGAUUCAGCGGCGGACGGGUGAGUAAUGCCUAGGGAUCUGCCUGGUAGUGGGGGAUAACGUCCGGAAACGGGCGCUAAUACCGCAUACGUCCUGAGGGAGAAAGUGGGGGAUCUUCGGACCUCACGCUAUCAGAUGAGCCUAGGUCGGAUUAGCUAGUUGGUGGGGUAAAGGCCUACCAAGGCGACGAUCCGUAACUGGUCUGAGAGGAUGAUCAGUCACACUGGAACUGAGACACGGUCCAGACUCCUACGGGAGGCAGCAGUGGGGAAUAUUGGACAAAGGGCGAAAGCCUGAUCCAGCCAUGCCGCGUGUGUGAAGAAGGUCUUCGGAUUGUAAAGCACUUUAAGUUGGGAGGAAGGGCAGUAAGUUAAUACCUUGCUGUUUUGACGUUACCAACAGAAUAAGCACCGGCUAACUUCGUG